This 253-nucleotide ribosomal RNA is filed under the name uncultured bacterium. RNAcentral describes it as "partial 16S ribosomal RNA". It matches the Rfam family "Bacterial small subunit ribosomal RNA", at positions 524 to 776 of the family's 1533-position model. The record is from RNAcentral.
UACAGAGGUCUCAAGCGUUGUUCGGAUUCAUUGGGCGUAAAGGGCGCGUAGGCGGCUUGGCAAGUGGAUGGUGAAAUCCCUCGGCUUAACCGAGGAACUGCCGUCCAAACUGCUUAGCUUGAGACCGGGAGAGGUGAGUGGAAUUCCCAGUGUAGCGGUGAAAUGCGUAGAUAUUGGGAGGAACACCAGUGGCGAAGGCGGCUCACUGGACCGGUACUGACGCUGAGGCGCGAAAGCGUGGGGAGCAAACAGG